Octopus sinensis (East Asian common octopus) is the source of this 360-nucleotide long non-coding RNA. RefSeq lists it as uncharacterized. The record is from RefSeq and is a predicted model, not a curated record. Lineage: Eukaryota; Metazoa; Mollusca; Cephalopoda; Octopoda; Octopodidae. The transcript is spliced from 3 exons.
AAACAAUUUGAAACUGAAGUAAUAUUUGGAGUCGGCUUUAUAAAGAUAAAUCUACGCCUGGCAAUAUGUUUCACCACGUAGUAUCAUAUAGACGGUCUCUUGCGUUGAUACUGUGUACGAUAUUGUUUUUGGAGACUCAAGCUGAUUCAGAUAUAUGCAAGAUAUGUACUUGCAAUUCACUUACAACAAAUAUAGAUUGUGCACAUCGCAAUUUACCAUCGAUUCCACAACCAAUUCCGACGAAUGUUGAAUAUUUAGAUCUGCGAGGGAACAACAUUUCAACCAUCAAUGAAGGUACAUUCACGGGGCUUUCAAAUUUAAAGGGAUUGUAAGUUCGUUCAGUUUCUUGAUACGAUUUUC